This is a long non-coding RNA of Oncorhynchus masou masou (cherry salmon), 2522 nucleotides long. RefSeq lists it as uncharacterized. The record is from RefSeq and is a predicted model, not a curated record. Lineage: Eukaryota; Metazoa; Chordata; Actinopteri; Salmoniformes; Salmonidae. The transcript is spliced from 4 exons.
AUGGUCAUGAGCGCAAUCUAGCUGGGCCUCGAGCUCUUUAGUGAUGGUCCCGAUGGACCUCUUCUCCACCACAGCACAGGAACACUCUGGCACCCAGGGCCCCGUCAACUGAUGAAGGAUAAAUGACAAAGAUACCACACAACGGACAAAGAACAAGCCCUCACAACCGAUGAUAGAGAUGGCUUGGCCAGGAUGUUCCUCCAGCGUUUUCUGUCUGUCAGUGACGGAUGCCAGUAGCUAUGGAGCAAACCUUCACACCGAUUCCUACUCACUGGCAUAAUCUCCCUGGCUUCUAGAAGGAUGUUAAACUCUUCCUUACUUUUCUCUAGGUCAAUCAAUGCAGCAUCCUCCAAAUCUGCAUGCCUGGGUAUUAUUGCCAUCUCUUUUUCCCAUUCAUCCAUAGUCAUGCCACCAAAAGAUCAAAAGAAAUGUUCCACUCAUCCAUUUCAGUUUUCGCAACAAAGUAUUGAUUUAGCCAGUCAAAUGAAAAAAAAAUGUUAUAUGUUGCUAUGACAACGAGCUCAAUUUACUGUCAGUGUCGUUCGGACACAUUCACUUUAUAUGGGACAGUGGAGAUUGCAAUUUAAUAUUGAAACAAUAUUGAAAAGGUCGGAGAGAAAGACAGCGGGUUUUAUACUAAUCUCUGCUGGUGAAAACCAAAUGCUAGUCUAAAAGAAAUAGGAGAUAAUGUCUAGAUGAUUUUUAUAGUGGAGAUCAAGUUUAUACAUUUCAUGGCAGGGUUGAUGAGACAGUGGAUUGCGCAGUGAUAUGGAACAGAGUAAAUAGGCAUUUCAACGUCAUAGAUUUAGCCGGUGGUAACUUGUGAAAUAGACACGGCUAUAAUGUGGUUUUAACCAAUCAGCAUUCAGGAUUAGACCCACCCGUUUUAUAAUGUAUUUCAGUCAAUGUCACUCUGACAUUGCUCGUGCUAAUUUUUAUAUAUUUCUUAAUUCCAUCCUUUCACUUUUAGAUUUGUGUGUAUUGUUGUGAAUUCUUAGAUGCUACUGCGCUGUUGUAGCUAGGAACACUAGCAUUUCACUACACCUGCAAUAACAUCUGAUAAAUAUGUGUAUGUGACCAAUACAAUUUGAUUUGAUGAUAAUUCUCAUCAUCAAAAGAGUGAUCAAAUGAAGAUCCUACAUCUGUAGUGUGUCACACUGAGAGGGAAAGUGGAGUGAGAUCCUGACAUGGACUUACACAGCAGACACACCGUUUAACAUCUUCACCGAUGGCGGGUCAAUUACACGGGUGUAAUUGCAAUAAUUCCAAUACCGCCGCAGUCAAGCUUGACAGUUUCCAGACCAGCUCCUAUAAUUGCAGGUUGACAUAUGCAACUGGAAAUCAAAGGGAGCUCACAGUAUAGAGUGGAGCACUAGUCUAUGACUUCCGAUGUGGAACAGUGGAUAGCUCAUGCAACAAAAGCUGGAGUUAUUAGCAGGAGUUGUUAAUGGUAAAUUGGUGUGAAUGCCAAAUCGUCAGGGUUAGGAUUGAAUGAGAUGAGAAGGGAGGAGUGGGUUUUGGCAGUGCAGAGACAUUGGUAGACCCUACACUCUUACAAAAAUGGGUUCCAAAAGGGUUCGCCGGCUGUCCAUAGAAGAACCAUUUUUUGGUUCCAGGUAUAUCCCUUUUAGUUUCCAUGUAGAACCAAAAGGGUUCAACCAGGAACCAGAAAGGGUUAUUCAAAGAACCCCUUUAGGUUUUAGUUAGCACCUUUUUUGUACAUUCCAAAGGUAUUUGUUUCUGGAAAUUGGAUAUUGGACAUUGUCUCACAUUGUUUGUGUGACUGUGUUUGAGAGUGUUCAGAUCUUCCAUUCCUUUCAAAUCUUUUGGUAUUUGUUUCAUUAGUCCAUUGUUGAUAUAGUCACAAAACUUUAAAAACACAGAAAUACAGGUGGUAUGAUGCAAAAUGCAUCAUACCGGCUGUAUUUAUGUAUUUUGAAAGUUAAAUACCUUGAAAACUUAAUUGCUGAAAUGUGAAAAAAUGUGCGACUAUAUCAGCAAUGAACUAAUGAAACAAAUACAAAAACAUAAUUUAGGGUGGAGUUUUCCUUUAAGCACUUUAUGUCAAAUGCAUUUCUCAAAAAAUAAUCCAAUGGCUAAAUAAAUACAUCUUGAUUAAUUAAUUGAGCUGCUCCACUAUGCCUGUCCAAAUGUCAGUUGGAGGCUUCAUCAAAAGGACCACACUCAAGGCUAAUCCUCGUCUUUCAUGUGGUCACAGAGAAACCGGAGACCGUGGGUGAGGUGUAGCCCUGUGAGCUAAACCCCAGUGAGGCUCCUGUAUUCUCUCACUUGUCUAUAGAUGCUCCAAACCACAUCUCUCUCGUGGUGGGAUUCCAGAGGCUAGCUAGUGGCCAAGAACACUGUAAGGAAUAUCUGAGUCUUGCUUCCAGGAGCUAGCGCACCAUUAGGAUUUACGGCAGUGGAACAUAAAGCACUCAGGGACAAUCCCCAUCUAUAUAUCGGUAACAUAAAUUUUAGCGUUGCUAUUAUAGGGAAAAGAGAAAGGGGUAGAGUGCAAUUAC